This 270-nucleotide ribosomal RNA is filed under the name uncultured archaeon. RNAcentral describes it as "partial 16S ribosomal RNA". It matches the Rfam family "Archaeal small subunit ribosomal RNA", at positions 477 to 747 of the family's 1478-position model. The record is from RNAcentral.
CAGCGCCACAAGUGGUGAUCAUAUUAUUGGGUCUAAAGCGUCCGUAGCCGGUUUGGUAAAUCUCUUGUGAAAUUGUUAGGCUUAACCUAACAACGUGCAGGAGAAACUGCCAGACUAGGAACCGGGAGAGGUUAGGAGAAUGCUGGGGGGAGCGGUAAAAUGCUAUCAUCCCCAGUGGACUACCAGUGGCGAAGGCGCCUAACCAGAACGGGUUCGACGGUGAGGGACGAAAGCUAGGGGAGCAAUCCGGAUUAGAUACCCGAGUAGUCC